AUUGAACGCUGGCGGCAUGCCUUACACAUGCAAGUCGAACGGUAACGGGCCUUCGGGUGCCGACGAGUGGCGAACGGGUGAGUAAUGCAUCGGAACGUACCUUUCAGUGGGGGGAUAACGUAGCGAAAGUUACGCUAAUACCGCAUAUUCUGUGAGCAGGAAAGCAGGGGAUCGCAAGACCUUGCGCUGAUUGAGCGGCCGAUGUCAGAUUAGCUAGUUGGUGAGGUAAAGGCUCACCAAGGCGACGAUCUGUAGCGGGUCUGAGAGGAUGAUCCGCCACACUGGAACUGAGACACGGUCCAGACUCCUACGGGAGGCAGCAGUGGGGAAUUUUGGACAAUGGGGGCAACCCUGAUCCAGCCAUGCCGCGUGAGUGAAGAAGGCCUUCGGGUUGUAAAGCUCUUUCAGACGGAAAGAAAACGCAUCGGUGAAUACCCGGUGUGGAUGACGGUACCGUAAGAAGAAGCACCGGCUAACUACGUGCCAGCAGCCGCGGU
This 497-nucleotide ribosomal RNA is filed under the name uncultured bacterium. RNAcentral describes it as "bacterial SSU rRNA". It matches the Rfam family "Bacterial small subunit ribosomal RNA", at positions 30 to 521 of the family's 1533-position model. The record is from RNAcentral.